AAACUAUUUCGAUCCACUGAAAGAGAUUCAGUGAUAUAUAUGAUAGUGAUCAUGGUAUGUCUCACUAUCAAAUAGAAUUGAACUUAUGAAGAUACACGUAAAGGAAAAAGAUCUGGAUUAGUUAAAAUUGGGCUUAUGAAGCAUCAAUUUAUAUGAAUUUUGAGAAAUCCUGUUAGGUUCAUGUUAACCUUGCUAGCACCUAGGUGAACCCAAUUCCUCUUGUAGUUGA
This 229-nucleotide long non-coding RNA is filed under the name Elaeis guineensis (African oil palm). RNAcentral describes it as "long non-coding RNA (EGUI_LNC057871)". The record is from RNAcentral. Lineage: Eukaryota; Viridiplantae; Streptophyta; Magnoliopsida; Arecales; Arecaceae.